RNAcentral lists this ribosomal RNA (2931 nucleotides) under Escherichia coli. RNAcentral describes it as "bacterial LSU rRNA". It matches the Rfam family "Bacterial large subunit ribosomal RNA". Lineage: Bacteria; Pseudomonadati; Pseudomonadota; Gammaproteobacteria; Enterobacterales; Enterobacteriaceae. The record is from RNAcentral.
GGGUUGUGAGGUUAAGCGACUAAGCGUACACGGUGGAUGCCCUGGCAGUCAGAGGCGAUGAAGGACGUGCUAAUCUGCGAUAAGCGUCGGUAAGGUGAUAUGAACCGUUAUAACCGGCGAUUUCCGAAUGGGGAAACCCAGUGUGUUUCGACACACUAUCAUUAACUGAAUCCAUAGGUUAAUGAGGCGAACCGGGGGAACUGAAACAUCUAAGUACCCCGAGGAAAAGAAAUCAACCGAGAUUCCCCCAGUAGCGGCGAGCGAACGGGGAGGAGCCCAGAGCCUGAAUCAGUGUGUGUGUUAGUGGAAGCGUCUGGAAAGGCGCGCGAUACAGGGUGACAGCCCCGUACACAAAAAUGCACAUACUGUGAGCUCGAUGAGUAGGGCGGGACACGUGGUAUCCUGUCUGAAUAUGGGGGACCAUCCUCCAAGGCUAAAUACUCCUGACUGACCGAUAGUGAACCAGUACCGUGAGGGAAAGGCGAAAAGAACCCCGGCGAGGGGAGUGAAAAAGAACCUGAAACCGUGUACGUACAAGCAGUGGGAGCCUCUUUUAUGGGGUGACUGCGUACCUUUUGUAUAAUGGGUCAGCGACUUAUAUUCUGUAGCAAGGUUAACCGAAUAGGGGAGCCGAAGGGAAACCGAGUCUUAACUGGGCGUUAAGUUGCAGGGUAUAGACCCGAAACCCGGUGAUCUAGCCAUGGGCAGGUUGAAGGUUGGGUAACACUAACUGGAGGACCGAACCGACUAAUGUUGAAAAAUUAGCGGAUGACUUGUGGCUGGGGGUGAAAGGCCAAUCAAACCGGGAGAUAGCUGGUUCUCCCCGAAAGCUAUUUAGGUAGCGCCUCGUGAAUUCAUCUCCGGGGGUAGAGCACUGUUUCGGCAAGGGGGUCAUCCCGACUUACCAACCCGAUGCAAACUGCGAAUACCGGAGAAUGUUAUCACGGGAGACACACGGCGGGUGCUAACGUCCGUCGUGAAGAGGGAAACAACCCAGACCGCCAGCUAAGGUCCCAAAGUCAUGGUUAAGUGGGAAACGAUGUGGGAAGGCCCAGACAGCCAGGAUGUUGGCUUAGAAGCAGCCAUCAUUUAAAGAAAGCGUAAUAGCUCACUGGUCGAGUCGGCCUGCGCGGAAGAUGUAACGGGGCUAAACCAUGCACCGAAGCUGCGGCAGCGACGCUUAUGCGUUGUUGGGUAGGGGAGCGUUCUGUAAGCCUGUGAAGGUGUACUGUGAGGUAUGCUGGAGGUAUCAGAAGUGCGAAUGCUGACAUAAGUAACGAUAAAGCGGGUGAAAAGCCCGCUCGCCGGAAGACCAAGGGUUCCUGUCCAACGUUAAUCGGGGCAGGGUGAGUCGACCCCUAAGGCGAGGCCGAAAGGCGUAGUCGAUGGGAAACAGGUUAAUAUUCCUGUACUUGGUGUUACUGCGAAGGGGGACGGAGAAGGCUAUGUUGGCCGGGCGACGGUUGUCCCGGUUUAAGCGUGUAGGCUGGUUUUCCAGGCAAAUCCGGAAAAUCAAGGCUGAGGCGUGAUGACGAGGCACUACGGUGCUGAAGCAACAAAUGCCCUGCUUCCAGGAAAAGCCUCUAAGCAUCAGGUAACAUCAAAUCGUACCCCAAACCGACACAGGUGGUCAGGUAGAGAAUACCAAGGCGCUUGAGAGAACUCGGGUGAAGGAACUAGGCAAAAUGGUGCCGUAACUUCGGGAGAAGGCACGCUGAUAUGUAGGUGAAGCGACUUGCUCGUGGAGCUGAAAUCAGUCGAAGAUACCAGCUGGCUGCAACUGUUUAUUAAAAACACAGCACUGUGCAAACACGAAAGUGGACGUAUACGGUGUGACGCCUGCCCGGUGCCGGAAGGUUAAUUGAUGGGGUUAGCGGUAACGCGAAGCUCUUGAUCGAAGCCCCGGUAAACGGCGGCCGUAACUAUAACGGUCCUAAGGUAGCGAAAUUCCUUGUCGGGUAAGUUCCGACCUGCACGAAUGGCGUAAUGAUGGCCAGGCUGUCUCCACCCGAGACUCAGUGAAAUUGAACUCGCUGUGAAGAUGCAGUGUACCCGCGGCAAGACGGAAAGACCCCGUGAACCUUUACUAUAGCUUGACACUGAACAUUGAGCCUUGAUGUGUAGGAUAGGUGGGAGGCUUUGAAGUGUGGACGCCAGUCUGCAUGGAGCCGGCCUUGAAAUACCACCCUUUAAUGUUUGAUGUUCUAACGUUGGCCCCUGAUCGGGGUUGCGGACAGUGUCUGGUGGGUAGUUUGACUGGGGCGGUCUCCUCCUAAAGAGUAACGGAGGAGCACGAAGGUUGGCUAAUCCUGGUCGGACAUCAGGAGGUUAGUGCAAUGGCAUAAGCCAGCUUGACUGCGAGCGUGACGGCGCGAGCAGGUGCGAAAGCAGGUCAUAGUGAUCCGGUGGUUCUGAAUGGAAGGGCCAUCGCUCAACGGAUAAAAGGUACUCCGGGGAUAACAGGCUGAUACCGCCCAAGAGUUCAUAUCGACGGCGGUGUUUGGCACCUCGAUGUCGGCUCAUCACAUCCUGGGGCUGAAGUAGGUCCCAAGGGUAUGGCUGUUCGCCAUUUAAAGUGGUACGCGAGCUGGGUUUAGAACGUCGUGAGACAGUUCGGUCCCUAUCUGCCGUGGGCGCUGGAGAACUGAGGGGGGCUGCUCCUAGUACGAGAGGACCGGAGUGGACGCAUCACUGGUGUUCGGGUUGUCAUGCCAAUGGCACUGCCCGGUAGCUAAAUGCGGAAGAGAUAAGUGCUGAAAGCAUCUAAGCACGAAACUUGCCCCGAGAUGAGUUCUCCCUGAGACUUUAAGUCUCCUGAAGGAACGUUGAAGACGACGACGUUGAUAGGCCGGGUGUGUAAGCGCAGCGAUGCGUUGAGCUAACCGGUACUAAUGAACCGUGAGGCUUAACCUUACAACGCCGAAGGUGUUU